UACCACCCUUGUAUGUUUUGAGUUCUAACCAUGGCCCCUGAACCGGGGUUUGGGACACUGUUUGGUGGGUAGUUUGACUGGGGCGGUCUCCUCCCAAAGAGUAACGGAGGAGUACGAAGGUUGGCUAAUCACGGUCGGACAUCGUGAGGUUAGUACAAUGGUAUAAGCCAGCUUAACUGCGAGACAGACACGUCGAGCAGGUACGAAAGUAGGUCAUAGUGAUCCGGUGGUUCUGAAUGGAAGGGCCAUCGCUCAACGGAUAAAAGGUACUCCGGGGAUAACAGGCUGAUACCGCCCAAGAGUU
This 304-nucleotide ribosomal RNA is filed under the name Psychromonas algicola. Its description in RNAcentral is "Psychromonas sp. RZ5 Bacterial large subunit ribosomal RNA". It matches the Rfam family "Bacterial large subunit ribosomal RNA", at positions 2198 to 2500 of the family's 2925-position model. The record is from Rfam by way of RNAcentral. Lineage: Bacteria; Pseudomonadati; Pseudomonadota; Gammaproteobacteria; Alteromonadales; Psychromonadaceae.